GUGGGGAAUUUUGGACAAUGGGCGAAAGCCUGAUCCAGCCAUGCCGCGUGCAGGAUGAAGGCCUUCGGGUUGUAAACUGCUUUUGUACGGAACGAAAAGACUCCUUCUAAUAAAGGGGGUCCAUGACGGUACCGUAAGAAUAAGCACCGGCUAACUACGUGCCAGCAGCCGCGGUAAUACGUAGGGUGCAAGCGUUAAUCGGAAUUACUGGGCGUAAAGCGUGCGCAGGCGGUUAUAUAAGACAGAUGUGAAAUCCCCGGGCUCAACCUGGGAACUGCAUUUGUGACUGUAUAGCUAGAGUACGGUAGAGGGGGAUGGAAUUCCGCGUGUAGCAGUGAAAUGCGUAGAUAUGCGGAGGAACACCGAUGGCGAAGGCAAUCCCCUGGACCUGCACUGACGCUCAUGCACGAAAGCGUGGGGAGCAAACAGGAUUAGAUACCCUGGUAGUCC
Molecule: ribosomal RNA, 450 nt
Filed under: uncultured bacterium
Lineage: Bacteria
Description: partial 16S ribosomal RNA
Rfam family: Bacterial small subunit ribosomal RNA
Source: RNAcentral